CGCAGGGUAGAGCAGUUGGUAGCUCGUCGGGCUCAUAACCCGAAGGCCACUCGUUCGAGUCGAGUCCCUGCUA
RNAcentral lists this transfer RNA (73 nucleotides) under Spirochaetes bacterium GWE2_31_10. RNAcentral's name for it is "tRNA-Met". It matches the Rfam family "tRNA". Rfam says of the family: Transfer RNA (tRNA) molecules are approximately 80 nucleotides in length. RNAcentral also lists the same sequence under 2 other names. Lineage: Bacteria; Pseudomonadati; Spirochaetota. The record is from RNAcentral.